UGGGAUGUGAUGGGGAGCGAAAUUUAGUAGCGAAGUAGGCUGAUUUCACACUGUCAAGAAAAGUCUCUAUCGAGGUUAAAGGUACCCGUACCGCAAACCGACACAGGUGGGUGAGGAGAGUAUCCUAAGGCCCAGCGAGAGAACUGUUGUUAAGGAACUCGGCAAAAUGACCCCGUAACUUAGGGAUAAGGGGUGCCACCAUCAGGUGGCCGCAGAGAAUAGGCCCAAGCGACUGUUUACCAAAAACAUAGGUUUCUGCUAAGUCGCAAGACGAUGUAUAGGAGCUGACGCCUGCCCGGUGCUGGAAGGUUAAGGGGAUCUGUUAGAGCAAUCGAAGCAGUGAACUUAAGCCCCAGUAAACGGCGGGCCGUAACUAUAACGGUCCUAAGGUAGCGAAAUUCCUUGUCGGGUAAGUUCCGACCCGCACGAAAGGCGUAACGAUUUGGGCACUGUCUCAACAACAGACUCGGUGAAAUUGUAAUUCCGGUGAAGAUGCCGGAUACCUGCGACAGGACGGAAAGACCCCAUGGAGCUUUACUGUAGCUUGACAUUGGGUCUUGGUACUACAUGUACAGGAUAGGUGGGAGGCUUUGAAACCAGGACGCCAGUUUUGGCGGAGCCAUCCUUGGGAUACCACCCUUGUAGUACUGGGACUCUAACCAUAGGCCAUGAAUCUGGUCUUGGGACACUGUCAGGUGGGCAGUUUGACUGGGGCGGUCGCCUCCCAAAAGGUAACGGAGGCGCUCAAAGGUUCUCUCAGUACGGUCGGAAAUCGUACGUAGAGUGUAAAGGCAAAAGAGAGCUUGAUUGCAAGACAUACAGGUCGAGCAAGGAUGAAAAUCGGACUUAGUGAUCCGGUGGUUCUGCGUGGAAGGGCCAUCGCUCAACGGAUAAAAGCUACCCUGGGGAUAACAGGCUUAUCUCCCCCAAGAGUCCACAUCGACGGGGAGGUUUGGCACCUCGAUGUCGGCUCAUCACAUCCUGGGGCUGUAGUAGGUCCCAAGGGUUGGGCUGUUCGCCCAUUAAAGUGGUACGCGAGCUGGGUUCAGAACGUCGUGAGACAGUUCGGUCCCUAUCCGUCGCAGGCGUAGGAAAUUUGAGAAGACCUGUCCUUAGUACGAGAGGACCGGGAUGGACGUACCUCUGGUGUACCAGUUGUCCUGCCAAGGGCAUGGCUGGGUAGCUAUGUACGGAAUGGAUAAGCGCUGAAAGCAUCUAAGCGCGAAGUCAACUUCAAGAUAAGAUUUCCCACCGCAAGGGUAAGACCCCAGAAAGACUAUCUGGUUGAUAGGUCGAAGGUGUAAGUGCAGCAAUGUAUUUAGCUUAUCGAUACUAAUAGGUCGAGGACUUGACCAAU
This 1357-nucleotide ribosomal RNA is filed under the name Clostridioides difficile. Its description in RNAcentral is "partial 23S ribosomal RNA". It matches the Rfam family "Bacterial large subunit ribosomal RNA", at positions 1557 to 2925 of the family's 2925-position model. The record is from RNAcentral. Lineage: Bacteria; Bacillati; Bacillota; Clostridia; Peptostreptococcales; Peptostreptococcaceae.